CCCUUAGAUGUUCUGGGCCGCACGCGCGCUACACUGAUACAUGCAACGAGUUUAUAACCUCGAUCUGACGGUCUGGGUAAUCUUCAAACUGUAUCGUGUUAGGGAUCGAUUCUUGCAAUUUUUAAUCGUAAACGAGGAAUUCCUAGUAAACGCAAGUCAUCAGCUUGCAUUGAUUACGUCCCUGCCCUUUGUACACACCGCCCGUCGACUCUACCGAUUGAAUGGUUCGGUGAAAACUUUGGACUGUGGCAUUGUCCUUCAUUGGACUUCGCCGUAGGAAAUUGUUUAAACCUCAUCAUUUAGAGGAAGAAUAAGUCGUAACA
Molecule: ribosomal RNA, 323 nt
Filed under: uncultured eukaryote
Lineage: Eukaryota
Description: partial 18S ribosomal RNA
Rfam family: Eukaryotic small subunit ribosomal RNA
Source: RNAcentral